AGUAUUUUUCCAUGCUCUCUUCUCCCAAAUCAGACGAGGGGUUUAAAUUGUGAUACACAGGUUGCUCCGUCACAACGUGACAACCAUCACCGACCAGCGAUUCCAGCCGCGGUUCGUCCGUCUUCUACUUCCGCUUCACGAAGAACAAGUAAAUUCUCGUUUUAUGAUUUACGCGCUAAUCUAAUUAGUUUAUCGCGUUACUCUUCAUUGGUAUCAGAGCCAUAUAAUAGUUUUCUGGUCUGAAAAAUAUAUUAGAAUAGUUCUAUUACUCUAUGUAAAUAUAGAACUAUGUGUAUAUUUUUUUUUUGAAUGAAUAAUCUGCCAUGCAAUUGGGAAUGAUAAAACAGUUUGCUAUAUACCGUGGUAUCUAGAAUUAUGUGUUUAUUCAUAUCAAAUUUUCUAUGCAAUUGGAACUAGUUAAUCAGUUUAACUUUUGAAUGAUUUUUUUAAUUUAAUCUGAAAUCGAUUUUCAGAAUCUGAUUAAAAGAAAUCAGUGUCCAUUAAGUUUUAUGAAUUUCUGUAUGUAAUUGAAAUUGUAUAUCAAUAUUCAAUACUGACUUGAAAUAAUCUGGGAUUUUAUUGAAGAACCUUUUAUUUCUGAAACUGAUCAGAAAUACCACAAAAAAAAAAGGAAUCAAUUUUUUUUUAAUAAUUUUCUCGAUCAUCAAACCCGCUUCCCACGCCGCCUGAGAUCCACCGGCUCAGCUGGUGGAGGUCGUCUAAGAAACGACCAGUAAACUCCCUUAUUUUAAGCCAUAGAGAGGAAGAGCUUUAGAGAGCCAUGGCUUCUUUUUUCUCUCUUCUCUGAAAUUUAUAUAUAUGUAUAUAAUUUUAAAAAAAAUGGGGGCGAAGCUUGGUGCUCCAAUGGGGCAGUGGCAAAAAGAAAAGAGGAAAGAGAGAGAUUAGGGUUUUUCUCCAACCUCUGAAAUUUGAAAGAUUGAAAAAUGAAAAAGAAAAAAAAGGGAAGAAAAUAUGGAGGGUUGCUGGCGGAUGUCCCCUAAAGAAGAAGAAAAAGAGAGAUUAGGUUUCUCUUUUUUAAAAUGCAAAGAUGCCUCGUAUUUAAAAAAAAAAUAUUUUUUUGUUGGAAAUUAGGUUUUAGAAGCUGAUGGGCUUCUUUCUCUAUAGUGUGGCAUAUUUUAAGAAAAUUGGGCUAAAGGCCCACUCAAAAUUGGCUUGUAAUGUUUUUUAUUGCACUUUUAAGAAAUUGGGCUUUACUUUAAAAAUUUGCAGCACUCAAUUGUCUUGUUGUUCUAUUUGGACUUAUGGCCUAUUUUAAAUACUUUAGACAAUAAUUGUUUUGGGCUCACAACCUAAAUUAAAAAUUACAUAAGCUUCUUUUUUGAUUAAUUCCAAAUUUCAAAAAUUAGUCUUAUUGACUUAAUUUUCGGAAUAUAAAUUUAGUAUUUAUAUUCUUUAUGAAAAAUAUAAUUAUAUUAUUAUCCCAAUUGCUUGAAAUGUUAAUUAGUUUAACAUUAAAUUUAUUUAUUAAUUUUUUUAACUGCUUGAAAUAUUAAUUUGUUAAAGAAUGAGUACUGCUUCGAAAAAUAUUGUUGUUGAGCUCAACAAAGGGUUGAAGCUCAAUGGUGACAACUAUGAAACCUGAAGCUUGAAAGUCUAGUAUGUGCUAGAGGAGCAAGAGGCUCUACAGGUCAUUAACAAUGUCAUGAAUGAGCCUGAGGAAGGUAACACUGUUCAGCAUAGGCGUGAGCGUGAAGCCUAUAACAGUUGGAAGAAAACGAACUCCAUUGCUCACAUUACGUUGUUGAGCAACUUGGAUGAUGUCAUCCUAAGGGAGUAUAAGGAUCACCAAAGAGCUAUGGAUCUUUGAAAUGCUUUGAGGAAAAGGUUUGGUACUUGUUCCACUGCAAGGCUGCGAUCCUUAACGAUCAAACUUGAUUCAUAUAAGAAACGACCAGAACAUUCAAUGAAAACACAACUGAGGCAAAUGACAAAUAUGAUCGGGGAGUUGAAAGAUGUUGGUCAUCUGUUGACUGAUGAAUAACAAAUCCAAGCUGUCAUACGUUCUUUACCUAGUUUUUGGAAUCAUAUAAAAAUGUAUUUGACCCAUAAUGAGCGAAUCACAACUCUAAAAGAUGUCCGGAGGCAUCUUGAGUUAGAGGAAGAAUAACUUGAGGUUGCAAAGCCAAUAGCUGAAUUGCACAUGACAACAACCUCCAAAACUAAGAGUGAUUCAAAGAAAGGAAUUGGGGAAAGAAGAGAGGGCCACCUCACACUACAAAAAAAAUAGUGUUUAGCGACGGCCGUAUUCCGUCGCUAAACGACUAUUUUCCGUCACUACAGUUGUUUAGCGACGGAUUAGCGACGAAUUCAAGUUUAUCUCUAAAAUGCUCGUAGCUAGGCUCAUAGCGACGAAAAAUACCAAACCGUCACAGAAUUAGCAAUGGAUGAGCGGUGGAAUAUAUCUGUAGCAAAGUUUAGCGAUGGAAAUAACCGUCGCUAUAUUACUUGUUUCUGUCGCUAUUUUGACGACUUUUGUCUCUAUAAUAGAUAACAAAAUUCGUCGUUUCUUCUUAGUAGCGAUGAAAUCGUCCAUCGCUAGUCGUGUUAUAGCUAGUUCUCCCUGCUUUUUGCAACAAAAAUCUUUUGUCGCCAAUUCGUCGCAAGAUUUAAUUUUACACGAUAAUUUUAGCUACGGAAAGUAUCCGUCGCUAAUUUAUUUUUAACAUAUUGCUAAUUUUUUAAAAUUCUUUUUAUUUAUUAUUUUAAAUGUACUCUGUUCAAGCAUAUUACGUAAAAGCUAUUAAAUACACUUAAUAAAAAGUCACUGAUAUUAAUAUAAAUUAACAAUAUAUUCAACAAGGUCCAAAAUAUAUAGCAUAAUGCAUAUAACGGUAUCGUUAAGUACAAAAAAUUCACAAGGACCAACAAUAAAGUCCAAACAAAAUAGGCUAACUAUGCGAGGCUGGAGAGUUACGGUCAUCAUCUCAAUGCAUGAACCUCUUCAAUGUUAGCAACAGUAGAAGAUGUAGGAACUGUAGGUGCCACAUCUAAUGGGUGGUUGGUAAGAUCAAUAUUUGGCUUAUGCGAGGGUAAGGAAACUAAUUUGCGUACCCGCUCAAUAAUUACAGGAACUAUAUGAUAUGUCAGUGCAUGAAUCAAUCGCAUCACUAACUCAUCCAGAUUCUCUGUCGGUGUUGAUUGAGCAUUUGGAGGUGUUGCUGUGAUGUAGCAUCAGAUCCAAAAGAGUCAUGAAGAUUUGGCCCGUAGUAGCAUUUUGCUUGAGAUCCAAGACCAUAUACUCUUCUUUUCUUUUCUCCUCCCGCGGAUUGAUAAUAUGCUUUAUACUGAUCACUAUCAGAUUGAGUAUGUGUUUGUUGUUAUAAUAUCUCCUGAUAUUUUUCCUGUAGAAGAGUUAAUAAUUAGUGAAAUAAAAAGACUAAAUAAUAUUGAGCAUUCAAUUUACAAAAUAAAAAAAUAUAUGAAAGUAAAGUCAAUAAAAUUAUUUAAAAAACUAUCUUACAUGUACGAUUCGG
RNAcentral lists this long non-coding RNA (3494 nucleotides) under Nicotiana tabacum (common tobacco). RNAcentral's name for it is "long non-coding RNA (NTAB_LNC006603)". Lineage: Eukaryota; Viridiplantae; Streptophyta; Magnoliopsida; Solanales; Solanaceae. The record is from RNAcentral.